CGACUCUCGGCAACGGAUAUCUCGGCUCUYGCAUCGAUGAAGAACGCAGCGAAAUGCGAUACUUGGUGUGAAUUGCAGAAUCCCGUGAACCAUCGAGUCUUUGAACGCAAGUUGCGCCCGAAGCCGUCCGGCCGAGGGCACGUCUGCCUGGGCGUCACA
Molecule: ribosomal RNA, 159 nt
Filed under: Aphananthe monoica
Lineage: Eukaryota; Viridiplantae; Streptophyta; Magnoliopsida; Rosales; Cannabaceae
Description: 5.8S ribosomal RNA
Rfam family: 5.8S ribosomal RNA
About the family: 5.8S ribosomal RNA (5.8S rRNA) is a component of the large subunit of the eukaryotic ribosome. It is transcribed by RNA polymerase I as part of the 45S precursor that also contains 18S and 28S rRNA. Functionally, it is thought that 5.8S rRNA may be involved in ribosome translocation.
Source: RNAcentral